GACGAACCGUGCGAACGUUGUUCGGAAUCACUGGGCUUAAAGGGCGCGUAGGCGGUCUGCCAAGUCCGGGGUGAAAGCCCCCAGCUCAACUGGGGAAGUGCCUCGGAUACUGGCGGACUCGAGGGAGGCAGGGGUCGUGGGAACUUCCGGUGGAGCGGUGAAAUGCGUUGAUAUCGGAAGGAACGCCGGUGGCGAAAGCGCACGACUGGUCCUCUUCUGACGCUGUGGCGCGAAAGCCAGGGGAGCAAACGGG
This 253-nucleotide ribosomal RNA is filed under the name uncultured bacterium. RNAcentral's name for it is "partial 16S ribosomal RNA". It matches the Rfam family "Bacterial small subunit ribosomal RNA", at positions 524 to 776 of the family's 1533-position model. The record is from RNAcentral.